CUUGUUUUAUAUAUGUUUCUCUUACUUUUGGGUUGUCACUUUCUCAGCCAUUUCAAUAUCACUUGCUUAUUUGCUUUGUUUUGCACAGUCUUCAAAGGAACUUGAGAAAACUUGUUGCUCAUCUUGAGUUUAAGCCGACGGGCCCUUCUUUAUAGUUGCUUCAUGCCUACGCCUUCUCUCUCUCUCUCUGCUUCCAGCCGGGAUCACCUCGAGUCCUCUUUUUCCCUGCUGGUGUGACGACCGCCUCGCGGAUGCAGGCGUCGUCCUGGCUUGUCUUCGUUGGAUCAAUAUCUCGCCCGCUGAGCGACAUCGCUUCCUCUUGGAUUGCUAUUGCCCGGGUCCGGGCUGGUGUUGUUCUCGGGUCUUGGGUCGGCCGGUCGAUGAUAAUCCGUAGCUUUGGAGUUUGAUCUGCUCAAGGGGAUAAGCAAACCACUUACCUGUAUCUUGGCAUCUAUGGUUCCAAAGAAAUUCAAAGCGAGUGGCACAUCGUCGAGAGCCGAUGGUAGGACCAGCAUCAGAAUGCUAGCCCGUGAUUGUCCGUGUUGUACCUCUGCUUCAAUUGCCCGCGUUAACUCCAUUCUUGUCCCAUUCGCCAAGCUAUCUUAAAGCUAUCUUUUUUCGAAUUUUACAUUUUAAGUUUUUUCUACAUAUGACAUCAACAACACGCUCUUUUAGCUAGCCCCCUCCUCCAAAGCAGCGCACUGCACUAAGCAGAGUGUUGAAUAAAAGAAUGUGCAAAAAAUAACCAAAGCUGCUGGACUGGUUGUGUGGUAGCCACAGCAAAUUAAUUUCUUUAUUUUGGCUAUAAUAAUGAUCCAAUCUGAUCCCAAUUCGGUGGUCUGAUAGAUUUGGUCCUUCCCUACAGAAUGGAGUUAUUUUAGUUUUCUUUCAUCUUCAAAAUUGAGCCUGUGGGAGAUUUUCGCUCUUUACGGUGGCGGAAGGGGCGGGGCUUAUUUUUGACAUACACUUGUAACAGUGUGAGCAUACAUAAGUUGGAUGCAAAAUUUGGGGCUCCAGCUUUUAUAGUCUCUGAGAUUCAGGCGCUCAACAAGACGGAGGGACAGAUAGGCUAUAUCGACUCGGCUAUUGAUGCUGAUCAAGAAUAUACCCUAUAUAUUCUUCGAGAAAUAUAUACUCACUUUCCCACCCCCUCUCAUACCUCACAAUGGGCCGGCGUACGAUCAGACAGAAAGCCACUGCCAAAGUCGGAGCGAGUCUGUUCAACUUCAAACUUCCAUACGAACUUCC
Molecule: long non-coding RNA, 1248 nt
Filed under: Drosophila guanche
Lineage: Eukaryota; Metazoa; Arthropoda; Insecta; Diptera; Drosophilidae
Source: RNAcentral